RNAcentral lists this ribosomal RNA (850 nucleotides) under uncultured bacterium. RNAcentral's name for it is "bacterial SSU rRNA". It matches the Rfam family "Bacterial small subunit ribosomal RNA", at positions 9 to 858 of the family's 1533-position model. The record is from RNAcentral.
GAGUUUGAUCCUGGCUCAGGAUGAACGCUAGCGGCAGGCUUAACACAUGCAAGUCGAGGGGCAGCAUGUCCAGCAAUGGAUGAUGGCGACCGGCGGAAGGGUGCGUAACGCGUGAGCAACAUGCCCUAUACAGGGAGAUACACCAGGGAAACUUGGUCUAAUAUCCCAUAGCAUUCAUUGAAGGCAUCUUUAAUGAAUUAAAGCUUCGGUGGUAUGGGAUUGGCUCGCGUGACAUUAGCCAGAUGGUGAGGUAACGGCUCACCAUAGCAAUGAUGUCUAGGGGUUUUGAGAGGAAGGCCCCCCACACUGGGACUGAGACACGGCCCAGACUCCUACGGGAGGCAGCAGUGAGGAAUAUUGGACAAUGGAUGGAAAUCUGAUCCAGCCAUGCCGCGUGCAGGAAGACGGCCUUAUGGGUUGUAAACUGCUUUUAUACGGGAGCAAUAAGGGUUACGAGUAAUCCGAUGAGAGUACUGUAUGAAUAAGGAUCGGCUAACUCCGUGCCAGCAGCCGCGGUAAUACGGAGGAUCCGAGCGUUAUCCGGAAUUAUUGGGUUUAAAGGGUGCGUAGGCGGCCAUUUAAGUCAGCGGUGAAAUUUUGCAGCUUAACUGUAACAGUGCCGUUGAUACUGUUUGGCUAGGAUUUGGUUGUAGUGUGCGGAAUGUGUGGUGUAGCGGUGAAAUGCUUAGAUAUCACACAGAACACCGAUUGCGAAGGCAGCACACUAAGUCAUUAUUGACGCUGAGGCACGAAAGUGUGGGGAUCAAACAGGAUUAGAUACCCUGGUAGUCCACACUGUAAACGAUGAUAACUCGCUGUCGGCGAUACACAGUCGGGGCCAAGCGAAAGC